AGUGAACGCUGGCGGUAGGCCUAACACAUGCAAGUCGAACGGCAGCACAGUAAGAGCUUGCGCUUACGGGUGGCGAGUGGCGGACGGAAGAGGAAAACAUCGUAAUCUACUUUUUCGGGGGGGAUAACGUAGGGAAACCUACGACAAUACCGCAGACGACCUACGGGUGAAAGGAGUGGAUAUUUGGACCUGGCGCGAAUGAACGAGCCGAUGUCGGAGUAGUUGGUUGGCGGGGUAAAGGCCAACCAAGGCGAGGAUCCGUAGCCGGUCUGAGUGGAUGGUAGGCCACACUGGAACGUGGACACCGUCCAGGGUCCUACGGUAGGCCGCAGUGGGGAAUAUUGGACAGUGGGGGCAAGCCUGGUCCAGCCGUCCCGCGUGGGUUGAGAAAGCCUUCCGGUUGUAAAGCCCGUUUGUUGGGUAAGAAACGCAGCAGGUUAAUACCCCGCUGUUCUGACGGUACUCAAAGAAUAAGCACCGGCUAACUUCGUG
Molecule: ribosomal RNA, 492 nt
Filed under: uncultured bacterium
Lineage: Bacteria
Description: partial 16S ribosomal RNA
Rfam family: Bacterial small subunit ribosomal RNA
Source: RNAcentral